Molecule: ribosomal RNA, 543 nt
Filed under: Lodderomyces parapsilosis
Lineage: Eukaryota; Fungi; Ascomycota; Pichiomycetes; Serinales; Debaryomycetaceae
Description: eukaryotic LSU rRNA
Rfam family: 5.8S ribosomal RNA (bases 200-353)
Source: RNAcentral
UUCAAAGCGUAACAAGGUUUCCGUAGGUGAACCUGCGGAAGGAUCAUUACAGAAUGAAAAGUGCUUAACUGCAUUUUUUCUUACACAUGUGUUUUUCUUUUUUUGAAAACUUUGCUUUGGUAGGCCUUCUAUAUGGGGCCUGCCAGAGAUUAAACUCAACCAAAUUUUAUUUAAUGUCAACCGAUUAUUUAAUAGUCAAAACUUUCAACAACGGAUCUCUUGGUUCUCGCAUCGAUGAAGAACGCAGCGAAAUGCGAUAAGUAAUAUGAAUUGCAGAUAUUCGUGAAUCAUCGAAUCUUUGAACGCACAUUGCGCCCUUUGGUAUUCCAAAGGGCAUGCCUGUUUGAGCGUCAUUUCUCCCUCAAACCCUCGGGUUUGGUGUUGAGCGAUACGCUGGGUUUGCUUGAAAGAAAGGCGGAGUAUAAACUAAUGGAUAGGUUUUUUCCACUCAUUGGUACAAACUCCAAAACUUCUUCCAAAUUCGACCUCAAAUCAGGUAGGACUACCCGCUGAACUUAAGCAUAUCAAAAGGGGGGGAAAAAA